GCCUGGGUGGCUCAGUCGGUUAAGCGUCCGACUUCGGCUCAGGUCAUGAUCUCGCGGUCCGUGGGUUCAAGCCCUGCUUCGGGCU
RNAcentral lists this transfer RNA (85 nucleotides) under Felis catus (domestic cat). It matches the Rfam family "tRNA". From Rfam's summary of the family: Transfer RNA (tRNA) molecules are approximately 80 nucleotides in length. Their secondary structure includes four short double-helical elements and three loops (D, anti-codon, and T loops). The record is from Rfam by way of RNAcentral. Lineage: Eukaryota; Metazoa; Chordata; Mammalia; Carnivora; Felidae.